AGAGAUGUGUGAUGACGCAUAUCAAUAAGCGGAGGAAAAGAAACAGGAGGAAGAAUUGGCGAAGCAGAGGGCUGCCAAUGAAGCGUGGUAUCAAAGGAAUUAUUAUCAGGAUUACCUGAAUACUGUUGAGGCACAGAAUGCGCUUAAACGAGUGAGGAAUGCUUGGGAUGAGUAUACCCGAGAGGAGAGGGCGCGACAGGCGAUAACGGGUGGAACGCCUGAACAGGCUCAAGCGGUGGCGGAGGCCGGAGGGAAGGCUAUGGGUGAGACGGUUGGUAACUUGGCUGCACAGGGGCAGCAGAAUAAGGCCGCUAUUGAUGCGCAGAAGUUGGCGAUGGACACUAACCUUAGUCAGCAGGCGGCACAGAUUGCAGAGAACAAGCAGGCGGCAGCACAGGAGCUGAUAUCCGGCGGCGCGAGUCUUAUCACAAGUGGGUUGCAAGGCAUCGAGUGGGGUGGGGAAAGAUGCAGCGCAGAACACAGCUGAUGCGACAAAAGGGGCGCAGAAAGCAGCUGAGAGUUUAAAGGUGCCGGUUAAUGUUUCCAAAGGAGAAGAAGAGAGAAAAUAUCACAGAGCAGAAAGAUAAUAUGAGCGCAUACGAUAUGAUGAAUGAAAAGAAGAGGCCUGUGUAUCCUACGCUUGACGAGGGUACCUACGCUUAGGAUGUUGAAGAUGUAGCACAUCAU
Molecule: ribosomal RNA, 687 nt
Filed under: uncultured Neocallimastigales
Lineage: Eukaryota; Fungi; Neocallimastigomycota; Neocallimastigomycetes; Neocallimastigales
Description: partial large subunit ribosomal RNA
Source: RNAcentral